RNAcentral lists this ribosomal RNA (460 nucleotides) under uncultured bacterium. Its description in RNAcentral is "partial 16S ribosomal RNA". It matches the Rfam family "Bacterial small subunit ribosomal RNA", at positions 338 to 795 of the family's 1533-position model. The record is from RNAcentral.
CCUACGGGUGGCAGCAGUGAGGAAUAUUGGUCAAUGGGCGGGAGCCUGAACCAGCCAAGUCGCGUGAGGGAAGACGGUCCUAUGGAUUGUAAACCUCUUUAGGCGUGGAGCAAUGCCGGGCACGUGUGCCCGGAGGGAGAGUACCCGCAGAAUAAGCAUCGGCUAACUCCGUGCCAGCAGCCGCGGUAAUACGGAGGAGGCGAGCGUUAUACGGAUUUAUUGGGUUUAAGGGGUGCGGCGGCGGAUUUUUAAGUCAGCGGUAAAAUGUCCGGGCUCAACCCGGGCCGGCCGUUGAAACGGGGGAUCUUGAGUGGGCGAGAAGUAUGCGGAAGGCGUGGGGUAGCGGUGAAAGGCAUAGAUAUCACGCAGAACUCCAAUUGCGAAGGCAGCAUACCGGCGCCCGACUGACGCUGAGGCACGAAAGCGUGGGGAUCGAACAGGAUUAGAUACCCUUGUAGUC